This 477-nucleotide ribosomal RNA is filed under the name uncultured soil bacterium. RNAcentral's name for it is "bacterial SSU rRNA". It matches the Rfam family "Bacterial small subunit ribosomal RNA", at positions 26 to 520 of the family's 1533-position model. The record is from RNAcentral.
AGGAUAAACGCUGGCGGCGUGCCUAAUGCAUGCAAGUCGAACGGGAGCCCUUUCGGGGGUCGACCGUGGCGGACGGGUGAGGAACACGUAGCUAACCUGCCCAGGUAUGGGGGAUAUGCGCUGGAAACGGCGUGCAAUACCGCAUACGUUCGGGUGUCGGGAGACGCUUGAGGAAAGCCGAGUAAUCGGUGUACCUGGAGGGGGCUGCGUCCGAUUAGCUAGUUGGAGUGGUAAGAGCACCCAAGGCGAUGAUCGGUAGCUGGUCUGAGAGGACGAUCAGCCACACGGGGACUGAGACACGGCCCCGACUCCUACGGGAGGCAGCAGCAAGGAAUUUCCACAAUGGGCGCAAGCCUGAUGGAGCAACGCCGCGUGGGAUGACGCGUUUCGGCGUGUAAACCCCUUUCGAGGGACGAAGGCAAUGACGGUACCCUCGGAAUAACGGACCGGACUAACGUACGUGACCAGACACGCCGA